CCUACGGGAGGCAGCAGUGAGGAAUAUUGGUCAAUGGACGCAAGUCUGAACCAGCCAUGCCGCGUGCAGGAAGACGGCUCUAUGAGUUGUCAACUGCUUUUGUACGAGGGUAAACGCAGAUACGUGUAUCUGUCUGAAAUUAUCGUUCGAAUAAGGAUCGGCUAACUCCGUGCCAGCAGCCGCGGUAAUCCGGAGGAUUCAAGCGUUAUCCGGAUUUAUUGGGUUUAAAGGGUGCGUAGGCGGUCGGAUAAGUUAGCGGUGAAAUCCCGAGGCUCAACUUCGGAAUUGCCUCUGAUACUGUUCGGCUAGAGAGUAGUUGCGGUAGGCGGAAUGUAUGGUGUAGCGGUGAAAUGCUUAGAGAUCAUACAGAACACCGAUUGCGAAGGCAGCUUACCAAGCUACGUCUGACGUUGAGGCACGAAAGCGUGGGGAGCAAACAGGAUUAGAUACCCCAGUAGUC
Molecule: ribosomal RNA, 460 nt
Filed under: uncultured bacterium
Lineage: Bacteria
Description: partial 16S ribosomal RNA
Rfam family: Bacterial small subunit ribosomal RNA
Source: RNAcentral